Molecule: non-coding RNA, 119 nt
Filed under: Arthrobacter sp.
Lineage: Bacteria; Bacillati; Actinomycetota; Actinomycetes; Micrococcales; Micrococcaceae
Description: SAM-IV sequence
Rfam family: SAM (S-adenosyl methionine) riboswitch aptamer
About the family: SAM-IV is a mRNA element that regulates gene expression via direct sensing of S-adenosylmethionine (SAM or AdoMet). SAM-IV riboswitches share conserved nucleotide positions with the previously described SAM-I riboswitches sequence analysis and molecular recognition experiments suggest that SAM-I and SAM-IV riboswitches share similar ligand binding sites, but have different scaffolds.
Source: RNAcentral
AAUCACGAGCUCCCGUCAUGCACGACCCUGGUCGACGGGACAGCAACCCUCUGCGUCAUAGCGGGGUGCUCCAGGUGACGAUUCGACGCGGUCCAAAAGGAAUCGCGUAAGUAUGGCGU